UACGUAGGGACCAAGCGUUGUUCGGAUUUACUGGGCGUAAAGGGCGCGUAGGCGGCGCGGUAAGUGACUUGUGAAAUCUCUGAGCUUAACUCAGAACGGCCAAGUGAUACUGCAGUGCUAGAGUGUGGAAGGGGCAAUCGGAAUUCUUGGUGUAGCGGUGAAAUGCGUAGAUAUCAAGAGGAACACCUGAGGUGAAGACGGGUUGCUGGGCCAACACUGACGCUGAGGCGCGAAAGCCAGGGGAGCAAACGGG
Molecule: ribosomal RNA, 253 nt
Filed under: uncultured bacterium
Lineage: Bacteria
Description: partial 16S ribosomal RNA
Rfam family: Bacterial small subunit ribosomal RNA
Source: RNAcentral